CUUUGGUCUUAGAUACUUCUCUUUGGUCUGUGUUUUCUCCUUUCUGAAUUUUAAUCUUCUGUGAUGUGAGGAAAUUUACGUGAACCUUUCACAUAUCUAUUUUUUUCCUUGUGCACAGUUGAUAAUUUCCUCCCUUAGAUUCCCUAUUUGCUCAAAAGGCAAAUCCUCUAAGAAGUCAUCUGCAGCCCAUAGCAUUCGUCUCAGAGCAGAAAGAAUUAGAACAUCCUUUACAGGGUCC
RNAcentral lists this long non-coding RNA (238 nucleotides) under Homo sapiens (human). RNAcentral describes it as "LNC_000318". Lineage: Eukaryota; Metazoa; Chordata; Mammalia; Primates; Hominidae. The record is from RNAcentral.